RNAcentral lists this ribosomal RNA (459 nucleotides) under uncultured bacterium. Its description in RNAcentral is "partial 16S ribosomal RNA". It matches the Rfam family "Bacterial small subunit ribosomal RNA", at positions 339 to 795 of the family's 1533-position model. The record is from RNAcentral.
CUACGGGUGGCUGCAGUGAGGAAUAUUGGUCAAUGGGCGCAAGCCUGAACCAGCCAUGCCGCGUGAAGGAUGACGGCCCUAUGGGUUGUAAACUUCUUUUAUACGGGAAGAAACGCCUCUACGUGUAGAGGUUUGACGGUACCGUACGAAUAAGCAUCGGCUAACUCCGUGCCAGCAGCCGCGGUAAUACGGAGGAUGCAAGCGUUAUCCGGAUUUAUUGGGUUUAAAGGGUACGUAGGCGGAAGAUUAAGUCAGUAGUGAAAUCCUGCAGCUUAACUGUAGAACUGUUAUUGAUACUGGUUUUCUUGAAUGUAGUCGAGGUAGGCGGAAUAAGUAAUGUAGCGGUGAAAUGCUUAGAUAUUACUUAGAACACCGAUUGCGAAGGCAGCUUACUAAGCUAUGAUUGACGCUGAGGUACGAAAGCGUGGGGAGCGAACAGGAUUAGAUACCCGCGUAGUC